Molecule: ribosomal RNA, 1394 nt
Filed under: Salmonella enterica subsp. enterica serovar Agona str. SA-2
Lineage: Bacteria; Pseudomonadati; Pseudomonadota; Gammaproteobacteria; Enterobacterales; Enterobacteriaceae
Description: bacterial LSU rRNA
Rfam family: Bacterial large subunit ribosomal RNA
Source: RNAcentral
GGUUAAGCGACUAAGCGUACACGGUGGAUGCCCUGGCAGUCAGAGGCGAUGAAGGGCGUGCUAAUCUGCGAUAAGCGCCGGUAAGGUGAUAUGAACCGUUAUAACCGGCGAUACCCGAAUGGGGAAACCCAGUGUGACUCGUCACACUAUCAUUAACUGAAUCCAUAGGUUAAUGAGGCGAACCGGGGGAACUGAAACAUCUAAGUACCCCGAGGAAAAGAAAUCAACCGAGAUUCCCCCAGUAGCGGCGAGCGAACGGGGAGGAGCCCAGAGCCUGAAUCAGCAUGUGUGUUAGUGGAAGCGUCUGGAAAGACGCGCGAUACAGGGUGACAGCCCCGUACACAAAAGCGUAUGUGCUGUGAGCUCGAUGAGUAGGGCGGGACACGUGGUAUCCUGUCUGAAUAUGGGGGGACCAUCCUCCAAGGCUAAAUACUCCUGACUGACCGAUAGUGAACCAGUACCGUGAGGGAAAGGCGAAAAGAACCCCGGCGAGGGGAGUGAAAAAGAACCUGAAACCGUGUACGUACAAGCAGUGGGAGCACAGGUUUACCUGUGUGACUGCGUACCUUUUGUAUAAUGGGUCAGCGACUUAUAUUCUGUAGCAAGGUUAACCGAAUAGGGGAGCCGGAGGGAAACCGAGUCUUAAUUGGGCGUUAAGUUGCAGGGUAUAGACCCGAAACCCGGUGAUCUAGCCAUGGGCAGGUUGAAGGUUGGGUAACACUAACUGGAGGACCGAACCGACUAAUGUUGAAAAAUUAGCGGAUGACCUGUGGCUGGGGGUGAAAGGCCAAUCAAACCGGGAGAUAGCUGGUUCUCCCCGAAAGCUAUUUAGGUAGCGCCUCGUGAAUUCAUCUCCGGGGGUAGAGCACUGUUUCGGCUAGGGGGUCAUCCCGACUUACCAACCCGAUGCAAACUGCGAAUACCGGAGAAUGUUAUCACGGGAGACACACGGCGGGUGCUAACGUCCGUCGUGAAGAGGGAAACAACCCAGACCGCCAGCUAAGGUCCCAAAGUCAUGGUUAAGUGGGAAACGAUGUGGGAAGGCCCAGACAGCCAGGAUGUUGGCUUAGAAGCAGCCAUCAUUUAAAGAAAGCGUAAUAGCUCACUGGUCGAGUCGGCCUGCGCGGAAGAUGUAACGGGGCUAAACCAUGCACCGAAGCUGCGGCAGCGACACUCAGGUGUUGUUGGGUAGGGGAGCGUUCUGUAAGCCUGCGAAGGUGGCCUGUGAGGGUUGCUGGAGGUAUCAGAAGUGCGAAUGCUGACAUAAGUAACGAUAAAGCGGGUGAAAAGCCCGCUCGCCGGAAGACCAAGGGUUCCUGUCCAACGUUAAUCGGGGCAGGGUGAGUCGACCCCUAAGGCGAGGCCGAAAGGCGUAGUCGAUGGGAAACGGGUUA